Molecule: small nuclear RNA, 104 nt
Filed under: Dasypus novemcinctus (nine-banded armadillo)
Lineage: Eukaryota; Metazoa; Chordata; Mammalia; Cingulata; Dasypodidae
Source: RNAcentral
GUGCUUGCUUCAGCAGCACAUAUACUAAAAUUGAAAUGAUACAGAAAUUAGCAUGGCCCUUGCACAAGGAUGACAUGCAAAUUCGUGAAGUGUUCCAUGAUUUU